AUUGAACGCUGGCGGCAUGCCUUACACAUGCAAGUCGAACGGUAACAGGUUAAGCUGACGAGUGGCGAACGGGUGAGUAAUACAUCGGAACGUGCCCAGUAGUGGGGGAUAGCCCGGCGAAAGCCGGAUUAAUACCGCAUACGAGCUACGGGUGAAAGGGGGGGAUCGGAAGCACUCUCGCUAUUGGAGCGACCGAUGUCAGAUUAGGUAGUUGGGGGGGUAAAAGCCUACCAAGCCGACGAUCUGUAGCUGGUCUGCGAGGACGACCAGCCACACUGGGACUGAGACACGGCCCAGACUCCUACGGGGGGCAGCAGUGGGGAAUUUUGGACAAUGGGCGCAAGCCUGAUCCAGCCAUGUCGCGUGCGGGAAGAAGGCCUUCGGGUUGUAAACCGCUUUUGUCAGGGAAGAAACGCUCUGGGUUAAUACCCUGGGGUAAUGACGGUACCUGAAGAAUGAGCACCGGCUAACUACGUGCCAGCAGCCGCCGUAA
Molecule: ribosomal RNA, 493 nt
Filed under: uncultured bacterium
Lineage: Bacteria
Description: partial 16S ribosomal RNA
Rfam family: Bacterial small subunit ribosomal RNA
Source: RNAcentral